UACGGAGGGUGCGAGCGUUGUUCGGAAUUACUGGGCGUAAAGCGCGUGUAGGCGGCCUCUUCAGUCUGGUGUGAAAGCCUGGGGCUCAACCCCGGAAGUGCAUUGGAUACUGGGAGGCUGGAGUACCGGAGAGGAGGGUGGAAUUCCUGGUGUAGCGGUGAAAUGCGUAGAUAUCAGGAGGAACACCUGUGGCGAAGGCGGCCCUCUGGACGGAUACUGACGCUGAGACGCGAAAGCGUGGGGAGCAAACAGG
RNAcentral lists this ribosomal RNA (253 nucleotides) under uncultured bacterium. RNAcentral's name for it is "partial 16S ribosomal RNA". It matches the Rfam family "Bacterial small subunit ribosomal RNA", at positions 524 to 776 of the family's 1533-position model. The record is from RNAcentral.